Parelaphostrongylus tenuis is the source of this 74-nucleotide non-coding RNA. The record is from the annotation of a GenBank genome assembly. NCBI's taxonomy places the organism in Eukaryota, Metazoa, Nematoda, Chromadorea, Rhabditida, Metastrongylidae.
GCGUCAGUAGUGCAACGGUUCGAGCACGUGCCCUUGGAUAGGGUAAAAUGUGGGUUUGAGUCUCAGCUGACGCA